RNAcentral lists this ribosomal RNA (407 nucleotides) under uncultured bacterium. RNAcentral's name for it is "partial 16S ribosomal RNA". It matches the Rfam family "Bacterial small subunit ribosomal RNA", at positions 28 to 526 of the family's 1533-position model. The record is from RNAcentral.
GACGAACGCUGGCGGCGUGCCUAAUACAUGCAAGUAGGACGCAGUUGCGAACGGGUGAGUAACGCGUAGGUAACUACCUAUUAGAGGGGGAUAACUAUUGGAAACGAUAGCUAAUACCGCAUCCUAGUAGAUUGACCUGCGUUGUAUUAUCUAGUAGGUCGGGUAAAGGCCUACCUAGGCAACGAUACAUAGGCGAGCUGAGGAGGUGAACGGCCAAAAUGGGACUGAGACACGGCCCAGACUCCUACGGGAGGCAGCAGUAGGGGAUCUUCGGCAAUUGGGGGAACCCUGACCGAGCAACGCCGCGGGAGUGAAGAAGGGUUUCGGAUCGUAAAGCUCUGUUGUUAAGGAAGCGGUACUUAACCAGAAAGGGACGGCUAACUACGUGCCAGCAGCCGCGGUAAUAC